CGGGUCAUUAUUUACGGACGAC
RNAcentral lists this microRNA (22 nucleotides) under Heligmosomoides polygyrus. RNAcentral's name for it is "hpo-miR-54a-5p". Its record names the gene hpo-miR-54a-5p. The record is from miRBase by way of RNAcentral. Lineage: Eukaryota; Metazoa; Nematoda; Chromadorea; Rhabditida; Heligmosomidae.